Pelobates cultripes (western spadefoot toad) is the source of this 203-nucleotide non-coding RNA. The record is from the annotation of a GenBank genome assembly. NCBI's taxonomy places the organism in Eukaryota, Metazoa, Chordata, Amphibia, Anura, Pelobatidae.
CACAACUGCCCUGUUCCAGCAAGAUCAUUCUCAUAUUCACGAUUCUGUCCUAUCGUCUUAGGGUUAUUGUCCCCAAACUUAAACGAUCAGGUCAUUCAACGUCUGCUCAUAGCUCUGUCCAUGGGGAGCCAUGAGUGGGGAAGGCUAGAGUGGCUGUGAAUCAUAAAGGUAGCCUCCUUCUUGGCUUAUUCACCUCUGUCCUG